GAAGACUAGAUUCCCAAUGACUGCUGGCCCCAAAAUCUAUUAUAUCUGCAAGUCAUCAUUGAAGAGAGAAUAAAAUAGACUUACAAUUUCACUUCCUUUUGCCCGAGACAGAAGUGAAAAGGAGAUUACAAAAAAAAAUCUUUUAUAAAACCAAAAUAAUGGUGAAUAAAGAAAUCCUGGAGCAGUGAUCUGUAUUCCUUAUUUCAUUUAUCAUUGGGCCAGGGGAGGGAGAAGUUAGACAUAUCUAUAACAGCGUAGGUGUUCAACAAAUCAUUACCCUUUAGAUAGGAAAAAUUAGAAGUUAAGAUAAUAACGAUAAAUGCAUGUCUCUUCCAAACCAAAUGAUAAUACUUGACAAAUUGCUAUUGCAAUAUCUCUGAAUUCUCCAUUUUAGUAACGGAUGCAAAAUUCCAAAAGUACUUAAGUUUCUCUUUUCUCCUACUUAACAAACAAUAACUUAGAAGCUUUAUCACAAUGAAUCUAAUACUUCAAGAACUCUAAUGCUAAAGUUUCUUUAGAAUUCUAUAAGAUUGAAUGGUAAACUCCCAUGAAAUAUAAGAUGCAAUCCUUACACCGUGAAGACAGUGAAAUUUAACAAGUUUGAUUCUUUGAGUCCGCUGUGAUUAUGACAGAGCAACCAGUCCGAGUAGGUAUAAGACAACAAAUUUAUUAAGCAAAGCAAUUUGCAUAAAAGGAAACCAUUAUUACCGAGUUUAAAAAUCAAAUGAAACAAUUUUGAAUCUAACACACUCAAAAGAAAAUACAAUUUUCAGUUAAAACCCAAAAUCAUAAGGAUUUUCAUAGCUGAGCCUCGCCUUCAGUAAGGCCUCAUAUGCAGAAUGAGUUGUAAUAGUUUUAACUGAUUAAUAGGAUUUGUUAUGCUUUAAUUGAACUUCGCUUUACAGCAUCAUUUCACCAGGCAAAUAAUGCCCAACAAUGAUAUAAUUAAUGUAAAAGAAAUGAGUGACUAUGCAAUAACUAUAAGAACAAAGUGGGUUAACAGGUAACUCAGAGGACACUUGAGAAAUAUGAUAAGAAAUUUCAGGCAAAUAAAUAUAGAAAAAUAAACAGGAAAUCUACUAAGGAGCACUUAUGUGCUGGGCUGGCAAAUGGAACGUUUACUGUCAAAAGAAGAAAAAUGCAUUUAUGGUGAGUUAAAGAAAAUGGAGAGCACUUAAAACUUGAAAAGGGACGUUAAACAAAGAUAAGCAGUACUAGUAAGUCAGCCUAGAAUUAAGCGAAGAAUUCAUAAUACUGUAAGGUUAAAGGUAACAAAAGAAGAUAGAUUUAGAUUCCAAUAAACAGGGAACACCAUUUUUUCGACAAGUCCGCUAAAAAGGAUUCAAUAUCAGAACCAAAAAAGGAUAGAAGAAGAGAAACAGAGAAGAAACUUUACCUGUUUUAACUUUUCUUACAGAUGCCUAAACCUCUGUCUUUUCUCCAUACAAAGAUGAUGCUGAUCAGAGGACAUAAUAUCCCUACCACAUCUGCAGAUAUACUAGUUAAGGAGUGACAAUUUCCCCAAAGGUCCUAACCAGUAGGUUGCGCAUAAAAAAAGUCCUUCUAAGUACCUUAGUUUGCAAGUUAAUUAGAACUUGCAUACCAGCUUUCUGUUUUGUAAGUGAUGCUACAUGCAUAAACAUGA
RNAcentral lists this long non-coding RNA (1645 nucleotides) under Nicotiana tabacum (common tobacco). RNAcentral's name for it is "long non-coding RNA (NTAB_LNC013939)". Lineage: Eukaryota; Viridiplantae; Streptophyta; Magnoliopsida; Solanales; Solanaceae. The record is from RNAcentral.